Molecule: ribosomal RNA, 459 nt
Filed under: uncultured bacterium
Lineage: Bacteria
Description: partial 16S ribosomal RNA
Rfam family: Bacterial small subunit ribosomal RNA
Source: RNAcentral
CCUACGGGAGGCAGCAGUGAGGAAUAUUGGACAAUGGGAGAGAUCCUGAACGAACCAAGCCGCGUGAGGGAAGACGGCCCUAUGGGUUGUAAACCUCUUUUGUCGGAGAACAAAACCAGGGACGUGUCCCGGACUGCGUGUAUCCGAAGAAAAAGCAUCGGCUAACUCCGGGCCAGCAGCCGCGGUAAUACGGAGGAUGCGAGCGUUAUCCGGAUUUGUUGGGGUACAGGGGUGCGUAGGCGGUCCGUUAAGUCAGCGGUAAAAUUGCGGGGCUCAACCCCGUCGGGCCGUUGAAACUGGGAGACUUGAGUUGGCGAGAAGGACGCGGAAUGCGCGGUGUAGCGGUGAAAUGCAUAGAUAUCGCGCAGAACUCCGAUUGCGAAGGCAGCUUACCGGCGCCAGACUGACGCUGAGGCACGAAAGCGUGGGGAUCGAACAGGAUUAGAUACCCUGGUAGUC